RNAcentral lists this ribosomal RNA (650 nucleotides) under uncultured bacterium. RNAcentral's name for it is "bacterial SSU rRNA". It matches the Rfam family "Bacterial small subunit ribosomal RNA", at positions 381 to 1028 of the family's 1533-position model. The record is from RNAcentral.
AACUGCAUCAGCAUACGCGUGUGUGAAGAAGCUUAGGUUGUAAAGCACUUCAAUUGGAAGGAAAACCUCGAAGUUAAUACCUUCGAGUUUGACAUUACCUUUAGAAGAAGCACCGGCUAACUCCGUGCCAGCAGCCGCGGUAAUACGGAGGGUGCAAGCGUUAAUCGGAAUUACUGGGCGUAAAGCGUGCGUAGGCGGCUUGUUAAGUCAGAUGUGAAAGCCCUGGGCUCAACCUGGGAACUGCAUUUGAAACUGGCAAGCUAGAGUUUAAGAGAGGUAAGUGGAAUUUCAGGUGUAGCGGUGAAAUGCGUAGAGAUCUGAAGGAACACCAGUGGCGAAGGCGACUUACUGGCUUAAAACUGACGCUCAGGUACGAAAGCGUGGGUAGCAAACAGGAUUAGAUACCCUGGUAGUCCACGCCGUAAACGAUGUCAACUAGCCGUUGGCUCUCUUUUUGAGAGUUAGUGGCGCAGCUAACGCAUUAAGUUCUCCGCCUGGGGAGUACGGCCGCAAGGUUAAAACUCAAAUGAAUUGACGGGGGCCCGCACAAGCGGUGGAGCAUGUGGUUUAAUUCGAUGCAACGCGAAGAAACUUACCUGGCCUUGACAUCCUGCGAACUUUCCAGAAAUGGAUCGGUGCCUUCGGGAGCG